This 874-nucleotide long non-coding RNA is filed under the name Chrysolophus pictus (golden pheasant). RNAcentral describes it as "lncRNA (ENSCPIG00010002078.1)". The record is from RNAcentral. Lineage: Eukaryota; Metazoa; Chordata; Aves; Galliformes; Phasianidae.
GUUGUGCUGCGCUGCUCUGCUUUGCGCUGCGCUGCGGGCGCGGCUCGGCGCCCCGCGGGUUGGGUCGUUGCUUCCUGUCGCGUUGUUGUUGUUGACAUGGGAACCGACAUCGCUUUCUGUUCCAGAGAGUUGGAAGCUAAAGCUACCAAAGAAGUCGAAAGAAAACUAAGCAGGGCUUUCCUGCCUCACUUAUGUGGAACUGAGAGAAGGGAUUUAGUGCAAGAAGAGGAAGAACAGUUGAUGGAAGAAAGGAAAAAGAGAAAAGAAGACAAGAAGAAGAAGGAAGCUGCUCAAAAAAAGGUAUGUUGUGUUUAAAAAAAAAAAAGGGUACUUGUGGAUUUUGCUUUAUUAGUAGUAAAUAGUGUUUGAUCAGUUCUUUAACAACAGUGUUUUCUUAAUUUUUUUUAAUGCUUUAUAUGUGCUGUCAGUUAUGUAAUGGUAACUGACAUCUUGAACAUCUUAACUGGCUUUGUGUACAGAUUAUUUAGAGACUAAAUAUUCUUCUGAGAUGACCGCUCACUUUCCUGAUUCUGGUCUCAAGCUGAAAGCUUCCUCUGUCAGUUCUCCCUGUUUGUUGGCCUAAACAAAGGUGUUCCCUGUGCACUAAUGGAAAAUUAGGUAUGUCUGAUCUUACAGCAAACCUAAGUUAAAUCGUAUGUAAAGGCUGCUUCUGAAAAAGGUGAGGUGUUUGCUCAUGUUCCAAAGGGAGAGCUUCCCUAAUCUUUUCAAUAAGUGACAGCAAAACUGCAUAGUAAUUUUUGGAUCUCAGUUGUAAAAGUAUAACUCAUUUUCCUCUUGAAAUUUUUAAUCAGAGGUUGAAAGGCAACUAGUUUACUUAAAGAAUGUAAAUCUUUUAAGAGGUUCUCUUAGCCCC